This 1428-nucleotide ribosomal RNA is filed under the name Candidatus Hodgkinia cicadicola. RNAcentral's name for it is "bacterial SSU rRNA". It matches the Rfam family "Bacterial small subunit ribosomal RNA". Lineage: Bacteria; Pseudomonadati; Pseudomonadota; Alphaproteobacteria; Hyphomicrobiales. The record is from RNAcentral.
AACGAAUGCUAGCGGCAGGCCNAACACAUGCAAGUCGAGCGGAUGUCCUUAGGGACGUUAGCGGCGAACGGGUGAGUAACGCGUGAGAAUCUACCUUACUCUACGGGAUAACACAGGGAAACUUGUGUCAAUAUCGUAUGAUUCCUGUAUCAGGUAAAGAGCUAUAUAUUAUUGGAGUAAGACGAGCUUGCGUUAGAUUAGCUAGUUGGUGAGGUAAAUGCUCAACCAAGGCAACGAUCUAUAGCUGGUCUGGGAGGACGGUCAGCCACAUUGGGACUGAGACACGGCCCAAACUUCUACGGAAGGCAGCAGUGGGGAAUAUUGGACAAUGGGCGAAAGCCUGAUCCAGCUAUGUCGCGUGAGUGAUUGAAGGUUGAUUUAACUGUAAAACUCUUUUGUCGGUGACCAUGAUGAUGGUAGCCGAAGAAAAAGCUCCGGCUAACUUCGUGCCAGCAGCCGCGGUAAUACGGGGGGAGCUAGUGUUGUUCGAAUUUAUUGGGCGUAAAGGGCGCGUAGGCGGCUCGGCAAGUUGAAAGCUAAAUCUUGAAGCUCAACUUCAUAAGGCUUUCAAAACUAUCAGGCUAGAGCUUAGUGGGGGUGAGUGGAACUCCAGGUGUAGAGGUGAAAUUCGUAGAUAUUUGGAGGAACACCAGAGGCGAAGGCGAUUCACUACGCUAAGCUGACGCUAAUGCGCGAAAGCGUGGGGAGCAAACAGGAUUAGAUACCCUGGUAGUCCACGCUGUAAACGAUGAGUGCUAGUAGUGGGGUCUGCGCUUUUUGCUGCAGCUUCAUUAUACAGCUAACGCGUUAAGCACUCCGCCUGGGGAGUACGAUCGCAAGAUUAAAACUCAAAGGAAUUGACGGAGACCCGCACAAGCGGUGGAGCAUGUGGUUUAAUUCGAAACGACGCGUAGAACCUUACCAGCUCUUGACAUUCAAGGUCGAAUACAUUUAGAAAUAAGUGUAUUCUACUAAAACAUAUAUGACCUGAACAGGUGCUGCAUGGCUGUCGUCAGCUCGUGUCGUGAGAUGUAUGGUUAAGUCCUGCAACGAGCGCAACCCUUGCUCUUAGUUGCUUAAAAGCUGAAAAGCUAGCUCUCUAAGAGGACUGCUAAUGACAAAUUAGAGGAAGGAAAGGACGACGUCAAGUCUUCAUGGCCUUUAUGGGCUGGGCUACACACGUGCUACAAUGGUGGCUACAGAGAGUCGCGAUGUUGCGAGGCGGAGCAAAUCUUUAAAAGCCAUCUCAGUUCGGAUUGCACUCUGCGACUCGAGUGCAUGAAGCAGGAAUCGCUAGUAAUCGCGGAUCAGCAUGCCGCGGUGAAUACGUUCUCGGGUCUUGUACACACCGCCCGUCACACCAUGGGAGUCGGUUUUGUUUUAAGCUGUUGCGUUUGCGCAGUAUCGAUAAAGUUGACGACUGGGGUG